RNA transcript from Brassica rapa (field mustard), 1911 nucleotides. It is a transcript of the gene named proline dehydrogenase 1, mitochondrial, with no coding region annotated. NCBI's taxonomy places the organism in Eukaryota, Viridiplantae, Streptophyta, Magnoliopsida, Brassicales, Brassicaceae. The record is from RefSeq and is a predicted model, not a curated record.
AAAUAAAACACACAUUAAAGCGUUGAGAGAACAAAAAAGAAGAGAGGAGAAAAGAGCGAUAAAUCCGAAAAGCCUAAGAAACAUCAAAAGAGAAUAAAAACAAUUUCUUUUUUUGUUUCAAAAGGAAAAUCUUUGAAUUUUAUGGCAACCCGUCUCCUCCGAACUAACUUUAUCCGGCGUCCUUACCGUUUCUCCGCUUUAAAACCGGUGGGUCCACCCACCGUAACGGCUUCAACAGCCGCCGUCCCGGAUAUUCUCUCCCUCGGACAACAAGAACCAGAGCCACCUCUCCACCACCCAAAACCCAAUGAAGCUCACCAUGACAUCGAUCUCUCCGACCAAGCCCGUCUCUUCUCCUCUAUGCCCACAUCCGCUCUCCUCCGCUCCACCGCCGUGCUGCAUGCGGCCGCGAUAGGUCCCAUGGUGGAUGUUGGAUCGUGGAUCAUGAGCUCUAAACUCAUGGACACCGCCUUGACACGUGGUAUGGUCCUUGGCCUUGUGAAAAGUACGUUUUAUGACCACUUCUGCGCCGGUGAAGACGCCGCCGCGGCUGCGGAACGCGUGAGGAGCGUUUACGAAGCUUCGGGUCUUAAAGGUAUGCUUGUGUACGGCGUGGAACAUGCCGAUGACGCUGCCACUUGUGAUGAGAACAUGCAACACUUCCUUCGAACCAUCGAAGCAGCAAAAUCCUUACCUACAUCUCACUUUAGCUCAGUGGUCGUGAAGAUAACCGCGAUAUGUCCCAUCAGUCUUCUAAAACGAGUGAGCGAUUUGCUUCGAUGGGAAUACAAAAGUCAAAAUUUCAAACUCUCGUGGAAGCUCAAAUCUUUCCCGGUUUUCUCCGAUUCAAGUCCUCUCUACCACACUAACUCAGAACCGGAACCGUUGACCGCCGAAGAAGAACGGGAGCUCGAAGCAGCUCACGUAAGGAUCCAAGAAAUUUGUCGGAAAUGCCAAGAGUCCAAUGUACCUUUGUUGGUCGAUGCUGAAGACACAAUCCUCCAACCGGCGAUCGAUUACAUGGCUUAUUCAUCAGCUAUCAUAUUCAACACGGACAAAGACAGACCCAUCGUUUACAACACCAUUCAAGCCUACUUGAGAGAUGCUGGUGAGAGGUUGCACUUGGCCGUUCAAGAAGCCGAGAAAGAAGGUGUUCCUAUGGGCUUUAAAUUGGUGAGAGGCGCUUAUAUGUCUAGCGAAGCUAGACUAGCAGAUUCCUUGGGACACAAGUCACCAAUCCAUGAUACAAUUCAGAAUACGCACGCUUGCUACAAUGACUGCAUGACCUUCUUGAUGGAGAAAGCCUCCAAUGGAUCAGGAUUUGGUGUUGUUCUUGCAACACAUAACGCUGAUUCGGGGGGACUUGCAUCAAAAAAAGCUAGUGAGCUCAACAUCGAUAAAAAGAACGGGAAGAUUGAGUUUGCGCAGCUAUACGGUAUGUCAGAUGCAUUGUCCUUCGGUUUAAAGAGAGCCGGUUUCAAUGUAAGCAAAUACAUGCCAUAUGGACCGGUUGAAACCGCUAUACCGUAUCUUCUCCGACGUGCUUAUGAGAACCGGGGAAUGAUGGCCACGGGUGCCAAUGAUCGUCAACUCAUGAGGAUGGAACUUAAGAGGAGACUAAUCGCUGGAAUUGCGUGAAGAGAAGAGUAUAAGUCCUUAUGUGUGGAGCCACUGAAUGGAAUUGGGAAAUGUAGAUCAAUAAAUUUGUUCUAUAUAUAUAUAUGUAGAUUAUAAGAAAAAACUAUUUUUAAAAAUGGAGUAGGGAUGAACAUUUCAUGUGGCUUUGUCGUAACGGACUAUAUAUAAAUUUUUUUGGGUCACAAAACUAUGUAUUUAAUUAUUUCAAUUAUUAUUCACCAAUGUAUAUUCACCCUUCCUUAUCAAUAAUAAUGGAAUUACCUUUUUUAUUUA